GAUAUCUCCGCACUCUUUCCUAAAAGCCAGUUCCAGCUGUACGUGUAUGAUGCGCCAAUCUUGCAAAAUCUUUCCAAGUUUACGCCUUUGCCAGGAAAUGUUGGUACACAGAACUCGAAGCAAAGUGAUUAACAAUUGCCCAAGCUGUACAACAGUUUCGUUCUUUUGAAUAUCAUGGUUCUUCGCCACCUCAGGUAAUAAAGAAGCUUUACAAAUCACAGCAAAGACAGAGUCACGCCCAUAAAGCUUCCCAUCUUGAACCAGCAAAUGCUGGAGAUGAGCUCUAGCAACCAAUUCUGGUUGAAACUUUU
RNAcentral lists this unclassified non-coding RNA (311 nucleotides) under Hevea brasiliensis (rubber tree). Lineage: Eukaryota; Viridiplantae; Streptophyta; Magnoliopsida; Malpighiales; Euphorbiaceae. The record is from RNAcentral.